Molecule: ribosomal RNA, 981 nt
Filed under: Acinetobacter junii
Lineage: Bacteria; Pseudomonadati; Pseudomonadota; Gammaproteobacteria; Moraxellales; Moraxellaceae
Description: bacterial SSU rRNA
Rfam family: Bacterial small subunit ribosomal RNA
Source: RNAcentral
CGCUGGCGGCAGGCUUACACAUGCAAGUCGAGCGGAGAUGAGGUGCUUGCACCUUAUCUUAGCGGCGGACGGGUGAGUAAUGCUUAGGAAUCUGCCAUUUAGUGGGGGACAACAUUCCGAAAGGAAUGCUAAUACCGCAUACGUCCUACGGGAGAAAGCAGGGGAUCUUCGGACCUUGCGCUAAAUGAUGAGCCUAAGUCGGAUUAGCUAGUUGGUGGGGUAAAGGCCUACCAAGGCGACGAUCUGUAGCGGGUCUGAGAGGAUGAUCCGCCACACUGGGACUGAGACACGGCCCAGACUCCUACGGGAGGCAGCAGUGGGGAAUAUUGGACAAUGGGCGGAAGCCUGAUCCAGCCAUGCCGCGUGUGUGAAGAAGGCCUUUUGGUUGUAAAGCACUUUAAGCGAGGAGGAGGCUACUAGUACUAAUACUACUGGAUAGUGGACGUUACUCGCAGAAUAAGCACCGGCUAACUCUGUGCCAGCAGCCGCGGUAAUACAGAGGGUGCGAGCGUUAAUCGGAUUUACUGGGCGUAAAGCGUGCGUAGGCGGCUUUUUAAGUCGGAUGUGAAAUCCCCGAGCUUAACUUGGGAAUUGCAUUCGAUACUGGGAAGCUAGAGUAUGGGAGAGGAUGGUAGAAUUCCAGGUGUAGCGGUGAAAUGCGUAGAGAUCUGGAGGAAUACCGAUGGCGAAGGCAGCCAUCUGGCCUAAUACUGACGCUGAGGUACGAAAGCAUGGGGAGCAAACAGGAUUAGAUACCCUGGUAGUCCAUGCCGUAAACGAUGUCUACUAGCCGUUGGGGCCUUUGAGGCUUUAGUGGCGCAGCUAACGCGAUAAGUAGACCGCCUGGGGAGUACGGUCGCAAGACUAAAACUCAAUGAAUUGACGGGGGCCCGCACAAGCGGUGGAGCAUGUGGUUUAAUUCGAUGCAACGCGAAGAACCCUUACCUGGCCUUGACAUACUAGAAACUUUCCAGAGAUGGA